RNAcentral lists this unclassified non-coding RNA (240 nucleotides) under soil metagenome. RNAcentral describes it as "partial contains 5.8S ribosomal RNA, internal transcribed spacer 2, and large subunit ribosomal RNA". The record is from RNAcentral.
AACAAGGCGUACCUGCGGACCUGCGGAGGGAUCAUUCAAAAAAUUCAUAAUAAUGAUACACCCUUUGUGUGCACUCGUAUUAUUACCCCCCAUUUUGGCAUGACUCUUAACAUCGGGGGCCUGGCUUUGCUAGGCCCUGAGUUAAGUCCCUACCUUGGCGUCAGUCUCGGUAGGAAGCGCAUGCCAGAGUGGUUUAUAAUCAACUCGUUUUUUUGUCUAUGUAUCGUCUGAACUUGAUUU